GAUGAAGAACGUAGCGAAAUGCGAUAAGUAAUGUGAAUUGCAGAAUUCAGUGAAUCAUCGAAUCUUUGAACGCACAUUGCGCCCGCCAGUAUUCUGGCGGGCAUGCCUGUUCGAGCGUCAUUACAACCCUCAGGCCCCCGGGCCUGGCGUUGGGGAUCGGCAGAAGCCCCCUGUGGGCACACGCCGUCCCUCAAAUACAGUGGCGGUCCCGCCGCAGCUUCCAUCGCGUAGUAGCUAACACCUCGCAACUGGAGAGCGGCGCGGCCAUGCCGUAAAACACCCAACUUCUGAAUGUUGACCUCGAAUCAGGUAGGAAUACCCGCUGAACUUAAGCAUAUCAAUAAGCGGAGGA
RNAcentral lists this unclassified non-coding RNA (352 nucleotides) under soil metagenome. RNAcentral describes it as "partial contains 5.8S ribosomal RNA, internal transcribed spacer 2, and large subunit ribosomal RNA". The stretch from base 1 to 120 matches the Rfam family "5.8S ribosomal RNA", at positions 35 to 154 of the family's 154-position model. The record is from RNAcentral.